Molecule: ribosomal RNA, 775 nt
Filed under: Baridini gen. sp. BHJ-2011
Lineage: Eukaryota; Metazoa; Arthropoda; Insecta; Coleoptera; Curculionidae
Description: eukaryotic LSU rRNA
Rfam family: Eukaryotic large subunit ribosomal RNA
Source: RNAcentral
GUUUAGGGGUAAACCUGAGAAACCCGAAAGGUCGAAGGGAGAAAUUCAUCGCGUUUCGACGCAGGAGGCGUGCGGUCGAGCGACGGUUGGCGUUCGCGUCCGCCGCGACUUCCGCUCGUCGAACCGGCGACGAACGCGUGCACUUUUCUCCUGGUAGGACGUCGCGAUCCGUCGGGUGUCGGUCUAAGGCUCGCGGUGGAGCCCGACGACGCGUUCGCGUGUCGUCGGACCCGUGUGUCCCGGCCGACUCGCUCGACGGUAUAAGAAUGGUCACGGGCCGCUCUCGUAGCGUUCGGCUCGCGGCAAGCGCGUCAGGAUCGUCGACUAUCGGACCUGGUGCCGGUUUCGACCCCUGGCGACUGUUGGCCGCGAAGUCCUCGAACAGACCCGUAUUCGAGACCGAUCCGCGACGCUAUAGCUUUGGGUACUUUCAGGACCCGUCUUGAAACACGGACCAAGGAGUCUAGCAUGUGCGCGAGUCAUUGGGAAUCACUAAACCUAAAGGCGCAAUGAAAGUGAAKGUUCUCCUUGCGAGGACCGAGGGAAGACGGGCGACGUCGAGCCGUUAAAAGCGGUCGCUCCGCAUUCCCGGGGCGUCUCGUUCUCAUCGCGAGAAGAGGCGCACCAAGAGCGUACACGCUGGGACCCGAAAGAUGGUGAACUAUGCCUGGUCAGGACGAAGUCAGGGGAAACCCUGAUGGAGGUCCGUAGCGAUUCUGACGUGCAAAUCGAUCGUCGGAACUGGGUAUAGGGGCGAAAGACUAAUCGAACCAUC